Molecule: ribosomal RNA, 501 nt
Filed under: uncultured bacterium
Lineage: Bacteria
Description: partial 16S ribosomal RNA
Rfam family: Bacterial small subunit ribosomal RNA
Source: RNAcentral
AUUGAACGCUGGCGGCAUGCCUUACACAUGCAAGUCGAACGGCAGCACGGGUGCUUGCACCUGGUGGCGAGUGGCGAACGGGUGAGUAAUACAUCGGAACGUACCUUAUCGUGGGGGAUAACGCAGCGAAAGCUGUGCUAAUACCGCAUACGCCCUGAGGGGGAAAGCGGGGGAUCGCAAGACCUCGCGCGAUUAGAGCGGCCGAUGCCUGAUUAGCUUGUUGGUGGGGUAAAAGCCCACCAAGGCGACGAUCAGUAGCUGGUCUGAGAGGACGAUCAGCCACACUGGGGCUGAGACACGGCCCAGAAUCCUACGGGAGGCAGCAGUGGGUAAUUUUGGACAAUGGGGGCAACCCUGAUCCAGCAAUGCCGCGUGAGUGAAGAAGGCCUUCGGGUUGUAAAGCUCUUUUGUCAGGGAAGAAACACCGGCUCUAACACAGUCCGGGAAUGACGGUACCUGAAGAAUAAGCACCGGCUAACUACGUGCCAGCCGCCGCUGUAA